UUUGAUUUCUGGGUGGACUGCAGAGAAUAUGAAAUUGCACUAAAUUAGGACCUGGUAUGCUCGUAUUUUCAAUUCUUCCAGAAUUCGCAGAUUAUACAGUAGGAUUUGCCUCCUUAUAUUCGUCAACCUAAUGAUGGGACGAUUAUUGGUGCUACUGCUGAGGGGAGCAAUGCCAUUGAUUCUUCACGGUUGAAGGACAGCUUACGCCACUCGCCUGCUCCUGUUGCACUGACUUUUAUAGAAACAAC
Molecule: long non-coding RNA, 248 nt
Filed under: Vitis vinifera (wine grape)
Lineage: Eukaryota; Viridiplantae; Streptophyta; Magnoliopsida; Vitales; Vitaceae
Description: long non-coding RNA (VVIN_LNC007001)
Source: RNAcentral